UAGCUCAGUGGUCGAGCGUUGGCUUUGGAAGUUACAGGUCGGUGGUUCGAUUCCACC
Molecule: transfer RNA, 57 nt
Filed under: Phytophthora infestans (potato late blight agent)
Lineage: Eukaryota; Oomycota; Peronosporomycetes; Peronosporales; Peronosporaceae
Also listed under: 1 other name
Rfam family: tRNA
About the family: Transfer RNA (tRNA) molecules are approximately 80 nucleotides in length. Their secondary structure includes four short double-helical elements and three loops (D, anti-codon, and T loops).
Source: Rfam by way of RNAcentral